ACUCAAAGGAAUUGACGGGGGCCCGCACAAGCGGCGGAGCAUGCGGAUUAAUUCGAUGCAACGCGAAGAACCUUACCAAGGCUUGACAUACACCGGAAACGGCUGGAAACAGUCGCCCCGCAAGGUCGGUGUACAGGUGGUGCAUGGUUGUCGUCAGCUCGUGUCGUGAGAUGUUGGGUUAAGUCCCGCAACGAGCGCAACCCUCGUUCUAUGUUGCCAGCGGGUCAUGCCGGGAACUCAUAGGAGACUGCCGGGGUCAACUCGGAGGAAGGUGGGGAUGACGUCAAAUCAUCAUGGCCCUUAUGUCUUGGGCUUCACGCAUGCUACAAUGGCCGGUACAAAGGGCUGCAAUACCGUAAGGUGGAGCGAAUCCCAAAAAGCCGGUCUCAGUUCGGAUUGAGGUCUGCAACUCGACCUCAUGAAGUCGGAGUCGCUAGUAAUCGCAGAUCAGCAACGCUGCGGUGAAUACGUUCUCGGGCCUUGUACACACCGCCCGU
RNAcentral lists this ribosomal RNA (497 nucleotides) under uncultured bacterium. RNAcentral describes it as "partial 16S ribosomal RNA". It matches the Rfam family "Bacterial small subunit ribosomal RNA", at positions 899 to 1397 of the family's 1533-position model. The record is from RNAcentral.